RNAcentral lists this ribosomal RNA (445 nucleotides) under uncultured bacterium. RNAcentral's name for it is "partial 16S ribosomal RNA". It matches the Rfam family "Bacterial small subunit ribosomal RNA", at positions 354 to 796 of the family's 1533-position model. The record is from RNAcentral.
GUGAGGAAUAUUGCGCAAUGGAGGCAACUCUGACGCAGCCAUGCCGCGUGCAGGAAGAAGGCGCUACGCGUUGUAAACUGCUUUUAACCGGGAAGAAACCCCAGGACGUGUCCUGGGUUGACGGUACCGGAGGAAUAAGCACCGGCUAACUUCGUGCCAGCAGCCGCGGUAAUACGAAGGGUGCAAGCGUUAUCCGGAUUCAUUGGGUGUAAAGGGUGCGUAGGCGGAGCGUUAAGUCAGUGGUGAAAUCCUGCAGCUUAACUGUAGACUUGCCAUUGAUACUGGCGCUCUUGAGUGCGCUUGAAGUGGGCGGAAUGUGCCGUGUAGCGGUGAAAUGCUUAGAUAUGGCACAGAACACCAAUUGCGAAGGCAGCUCACUAAGGCGAUACUGACGCUGAGGCACGAAAGCGUGGGGAUCGAACAGGAUUAGAUACCCCGGUAGUCC